UUAGAGUUUGAUCCUGGCUCAGGAUGAACGCUAGCGGCAGGCCUAACACAUGCAAGUCGAGGGGCAGCGAGGAGUAGCAAUAUUCUGUCGGCGACCGGCGCACGGGUGCGUAACGCGUAUGCGACCUACCUAUAACAGGGGGAUAACCCAGAGAAAUUUGGACUAAUACCCCAUAUUAUUAUUGAGCUGCAUGGUUUGAUAAUGAAAGACUUUGGUUGGUUAUAGAUGGGCAUGCGUGACAUUAGCUAGUUGGUAAGGUAACGGCUUACCAAGGCGACGAUGUCUAGGGGAACUGAGAGGUUAAUCCCCCACACUGGUACUGAGACACGGACCAGACUCCUACGGGAGGCAGCAGUGAGGAAUAUUGGUCAAUGGUCGGAAGACUGAACCAGCCAUGCCGCGUGAAGGAAGAAUGUCCUAUGGAUUGUAAACUUCUUUUGUAAGGGAGCAAUAAGUCUCAUGCGUGGGAUGAUGAGAGUACCUUACGAAUAAGCAUCGGCUAACUCCGUGCCAGCAGCCGCGGUAAUACGGAGGAUGCGAGCGUUAUCCGGAUUUAUUGGGUUUAAAGGGUGCGUAGGCGGACUAUUAAGUCAGUGGUGAAAUACCGGAGCUUAACUUCGGGGCUGCCAUUGAUACUGAUAGACUAGAGAGUAAAUGGAGUAGGCGGAAUAUGUCAUGUAGCGGUGAAAUGCUUAGAUAUGACAUAGAACACCGAUCGCGAAGGCAGCUUGCUAAGAUACAUCUGACGCUGAUGCACGAAAGCGUGGGGAUCGAACAGGAUUAGAUACCCUGGUAGUCCACGCAGUAAACGAUGAUAACUUGUUGUCGGCGAUACACAGUCGGUGACCAAGCGAAAGCGAUAAGUUAUCCACCUGGGGAGUACGAUCGCAAGGUUGAAACUCAAAGGAAUUGACGGGGGCCCGCACAAGCGGAGGAGCAUGUGGUUUAAUUCGAUGAUACGCGAGGAACCUUACCUAGACUCAAAUGUUGAGUGACCGUUUCAGAAAUGGAACUUCUCUUCGGAGCACUUAGCAAGGUGCUGCAUGGUUGUCGUCAGCUCGUGCCGUGAGGUGUCAGGUUAAGUCCUAUAACGAGCGCAACCCCUGCACAUAGUUGCCAUCAUUCAGUUGGGGACUCUAUGUGGACUGCCGGCGCAAGCCGCGAGGAAGGUGGGGAUGACGUCAAAUCAGCACGGCCCUUACGUCUAGGGCGACACACGUGCUACAAUGGUCGGUACAGAGGGCAGCUACCCAGCGAUGGGAUGCGAAUCUCGAAAGCCGAUCUCAGUUCGGAUCGGAGUCUGCAACUCGACUCCGUGAAGUUGGAUUCGCUAGUAAUCGCGUAUCAGCCAUGACGCGGUGAAUACGUUCCCGGGCCUUGUACUCACCGCCCGUCAAG
Molecule: ribosomal RNA, 1398 nt
Filed under: uncultured bacterium
Lineage: Bacteria
Description: bacterial SSU rRNA
Rfam family: Bacterial small subunit ribosomal RNA
Source: RNAcentral